This is a non-coding RNA of Pelobates cultripes (western spadefoot toad), 290 nucleotides long. The record is from the annotation of a GenBank genome assembly. NCBI's taxonomy places the organism in Eukaryota, Metazoa, Chordata, Amphibia, Anura, Pelobatidae.
GGCUCUUCUCCCUCCAUUUUGUAUUCUAUCUUGUGAUGAUUUGUUUUUAAUCACAGUUUUGUAGACCUUCUUUUGUUUCAUCAAGUUAUUUUGACUUUUUUUUUCUCCAUGUUUUUAAACAAACUUUGACAGUUGUAACAGUUUUAUUUUGGGCAAUAGCCCACUCUAGUCAGAAGUCUGUAAAUAGCAUUUUGAUGUAAUUUGCCACAACACAACGCAAACAAUUAUAUGUUUUAGUAAGCCAAACCCUUAAUUUUGCAUUACAUUUUUAUUUUUCGAUUUUAUUUUGG